CGUGGGGCGGUGGACCCAGGCU
This 22-nucleotide microRNA is filed under the name Rattus norvegicus (Norway rat). Its description in RNAcentral is "rno-miR-5132-5p". The record is from miRBase by way of RNAcentral. Lineage: Eukaryota; Metazoa; Chordata; Mammalia; Rodentia; Muridae.